This 2122-nucleotide small RNA is filed under the name Rattus norvegicus (Norway rat). RNAcentral's name for it is "uncharacterized LOC102546842". Lineage: Eukaryota; Metazoa; Chordata; Mammalia; Rodentia; Muridae. The record is from RNAcentral.
AGAGGAUCCUGGAGGCCAAUGAGUAUGGAGAGAAGUAUGCAAGCACAGGACACAGACCCACUCCUGUUGUAUAUAAUUAUGUGAGCAGAUGGGAGAGGCUAAUGACUUUUAAUCCCAAGUGCAUUAAAGAAGAUUAAAGACGCCUACAGACCUAAGGAUCUGUGUUGAAGAUUUUAUAUGCAAUACCAUUCUCGUUUGUUCAUGUUUGCUGUCGUGAUUUCUUGAGUCUGUAAGGCAGACUGUGUGCAUGUUUGCAAGUCUAGGUGGCACACCACCAUCUGAAUUUCUGAACCAUGUUGCGGAUCUCUAGUGCCAAAUCCUACAAGGUUUUGGUUUUCUAUUUAUAGGAGCCUAGAAACCACUCUAGCCUUUGGAGUCACAGCUUCGCGGCAGUUUCAGCGUCUGCUACUUAUUAAGUGUUGAUGGACCAUCUGGGGCUUUCAGAGUCUUAUGUGACAUCUUCUUCAACUUACCUUGGAAUCUUAGACUUCACUGAGAUCUAUGCAUAAGUCAUUAUGGAAUGGAAAGGAAAAUGGCCACGUUUGAUUACUUUUGGUUUAGAAUCAGGAAAGCUGAAGUUAUACAGGAAGGCCAACUGAGAUCAAAAAGAAACUGUCUCUACCUGGUGCGCCCACAUAGCAAUUCUGUCCAGCCCAAGAGUCUGGGACAUGCCAGAACAUUUUCUUCUUUAUAGUCUGUGGGAGGCACUGACAAGAACAGUUGAUACAGAUUGCAAGCACAGCGACAUAGUAGUGUCGUAAUGCAUCAUCACAUGCUAUCUUUGGUAUAUUCUAGAAUUUUAUCACGAGGCAUUGAUCCCACACCUGAGGUCAUUAUUAGAAUGAAGUGAAGAAAGGAAGGCAUGAAGGGGAAAUGGGACUGUUUACGGAGCACAUCUACACAAAGGAGACAGGGGGAAGUGCUGUGCUCUUCAGUGUCUUUGUAGCAUAAAUCACUGAGGCAGAGGAAUUUUUGACAGCUUUCCCUAAGUGCUCGCUUCAAGGGUGAGACCAAAUCUUCCACAGAGGCCAAGGAUGAGAGUGAAAAAGAAGGGAUCCCAGAUGACUUCUAACACUCUUAAAGCAACUCGAAGACUCCAAGAAUUAAGGCACUGAAGACCGGGAAGCCACUGUUAGUGACAUCAUUUUGCAAGGAGUAGGAGGCGCUUCUUACUGGAGAAGGCACGUCACCAGGGUAUUCUUUGAAGUUUCAAAAGCCCAUACCAGGCCCAGUCUAUCUCUGCCUCCUGUCUGCUGAUCAGGAUGAGGCUCUCCUGCCUCCAUGCCGCUGUGCUUCCCAGCGUGAUGAGCAAAGAAAAACCUUCUGAGAUUGUAAGCAAGCCACCAAUUAAAUGUUUUCUUUUAUGAGUACCUUGGCCAUGGUGUCUUUUCACAGCAACAGAACAGUAACCAACACACAAUCCAAAGGGAUCCUUCAGAUGUUAACAUAAAUAAUAUAGGACAGAGACAAAAGGCCAUCCGGAAAUGUUUACCUCCAAGACUUUCUCUACCAGGCUCAACUGAAAUCGUUCAUUCAGAGUGGGUCAAGGUUUUAUUCAAAUACUUAUUGUCCAUUGUAUUGAGUUUUUAACCCAAACACUUAUAUAUAUGUAUGUGUGUGUGUGUGUGUGUGUGUGUGUGUGUGUGUGUGUGUGUGUGUGUGUAUACCUCUUACAUGAUUUAAGAGGCCAACAUAAAUUUCCUGGUGGAAAAUAAAUUGCUCAUUUCUAAGAUUUGUUAAUGUAAUUUGUGACUGUAUUCCUUCCAUAGGUUCACAUGAUUUUCUGGCCUCUUGGAAGCAUGAUUCUCCCCCCAAAAUGAGUUACUUGGUUAUAUGAAUGCUGUAUAAAAAUAAAUGCAAAAAAGUGGGCUUAAGAAGUUGGAUAGCAUACAGGCCCAUCUUUACCUUGCGGGUAAUAAGCUGAGAAUGAAAGUGAUCCCAGGAUCCUUUGAGAAUAAAAACCAUCAUUGAGAAACUUCUAUUUGUCACUGUAGUAGGUUGUCCAAACCUUAUCAGUUGUUCAUCUACCCAGAGUUCAAUGCUGAGGCUUUUCCAUGUGUGAUGGUUUGCAUAUGCUUGGCCAAGGGAGUGGCACUAUUAGAAGGUGUGGCCUUUUGGAUGA